This 471-nucleotide ribosomal RNA is filed under the name uncultured bacterium. RNAcentral's name for it is "bacterial SSU rRNA". It matches the Rfam family "Bacterial small subunit ribosomal RNA", at positions 355 to 825 of the family's 1533-position model. The record is from RNAcentral.
UCGAGGAUCUUUAGCAAUGCCCGAAAGGGUGACUAUGCGACGCCGCGUGUGGGAUGAAGGCCUUCGGGUCGUAAACCACUGUCAGGGAGGAAGAAACCUUACGUGUUAACAGCGCGUAAGCUGACAUCACUCCCAAAGGAAGCCACGGCUAACUCUGUGCCAGCAGCCGCGGUAAGACAGAGGUGGCAAGCGUUGUUCGGAUUUAUUGGGUGUAAAGGGUCCGUAGGUGGCCUAACAAGUCUGAUGUGAAAUCCCAUGGCUCAACCGUGGAACUGCAUUGGAAACUGUUGGGCUUGAGUACCACAGAGGUAAAGGGAAUUCCCGGUGUAAGGGUGAAAUCUGUAGAUAUCGGGAGGAACACCAGUGGCGAAGGCGCUUUACUGGGCGGUUACUGACACUGAGGGACGAAAGCAAGGGGAGCAAACAGGAUUAGAUACCCUUGUAGUCCCUGAGCGGGCUGGCAAGGCGCAU